Molecule: ribosomal RNA, 478 nt
Filed under: uncultured bacterium
Lineage: Bacteria
Description: partial 16S ribosomal RNA
Rfam family: Bacterial small subunit ribosomal RNA
Source: RNAcentral
GAUGAACGCUGGCGGCGUGCUUAACACAUGCAAGUCGAACGAGAAGUGAAGACGGAAACCUUCGGGCGGAAGGCUUUAUUUCGAGUGGCGGACGGGUGAGUAACGCGUGGGUAACCUGCCUCAUACAGGGGGAUAACAGUUGGAAACGACUGUUAAUACCGCAUAAGACCACAGCACCGCAUGGUGCGGGGGUAAAAACUCCGGUGGUAUGAGAUGGACCCGCGUUCGAUUAGCCAGUUGGCGGGGUAACGGCCCACCAAAGCGACGAUCGAUAGCCGAUCUGAGAGGAUGACCGGCCACAUUGGGACUGAGACACGGCCCAAACUCCUACGGGAGGCAGCAGUGGGGAAUAUUGCACAAUGGGGGAAACCCUGUUGCAGCGACGCCGCGUGAGUGAAGAAGUAUUUCGGUAUGUAAAGCUCUAUCAGCAGGGAAGAAAAUGACGGUACCUGAGUAAGAAGCCCCGGCUAACUACGUG